UGCGGAGGGUGCAAGCGUUAUCCGGAUUCACUGGGUUUAAAGGGUGCGUAGGUGGAAUAGUAAGUCAGUGGUGAAAUCUCCGGGCUUAACCCGGAAACUGCCAUUGAUACUAUUAGUCUUGAAUACCGUGGAGGUCAGCGGAAUAUGUCAUGUAGCGGUGAAAUGCUUAGAUAUGACAUAGAACACCAGUUGCGAAGGCAGCUGGCUACACGAGCAUUGACACUCAGGCACGAAAGCGUGGGGAUCAAACAGG
Molecule: ribosomal RNA, 253 nt
Filed under: uncultured bacterium
Lineage: Bacteria
Description: partial 16S ribosomal RNA
Rfam family: Bacterial small subunit ribosomal RNA
Source: RNAcentral